RNAcentral lists this long non-coding RNA (239 nucleotides) under Mytilus galloprovincialis (Mediterranean mussel). The record is from RNAcentral. Lineage: Eukaryota; Metazoa; Mollusca; Bivalvia; Mytilida; Mytilidae.
UGAAAUAUUAAAAGCAAUAAAAUAUAUGUUUGCUAAGAUUACAAACGGACUGUCAAAAAAUGUUGGGUACCAGUAAUGACGCACUGUAAACAAACCAGUAAAAUACACUUGCUCGUACCUGAUAAUGGAAAAAUUGCUUCAAUCUGGAUUCUUUAAAGUUAACACUGUUCAACAAAUUCUAUUUUAUUUACAACUUUUUAAAUUUUCAUACACUUUAAUGAUCAUGGGGCAAAUAGAAC